This 250-nucleotide ribosomal RNA is filed under the name uncultured bacterium. Its description in RNAcentral is "partial 16S ribosomal RNA". It matches the Rfam family "Bacterial small subunit ribosomal RNA", at positions 524 to 773 of the family's 1533-position model. The record is from RNAcentral.
UACGGAGGGUGCAAGCGUUAAUCGGAUUUAUUGGGUUUAAAGGGUGCGUAGGCGGAACAAUAAGUCAGUUGCGAAAGUUUGCGGCUCAACCGUAAAAUUGCAGUUGAUACUGUUAUUCUUGAGUGUACAUAAGGUAGGCGGAAUUCGUGGUGUAGCGGUGAAAUGCUUAGAUAUCACGAAGAACUCCAAUUGCGAAGGCAGCUUACCGGGGUACAACUGACGCUGAGGCACGAAAGUGUGGGUAUCAAAC